GCCCAGACUCCUACGGGAGGCAGCAGUGGGGAAUAUUGCACAAUGGGGGAAACCCUGAUGCAGCGACGCCGCGUGGGUGAAGGAGCGUUUCGGCGCGUAAAGCCCUCUCGGCAGGGAAGAAGGAGGACGGUACCUGACUAAGAAGCCCCGGCUAACUACGUGCCAGCAGCCGCGGUAAUACGUAGGGGGCAAGCGUUAUCCGGAUUUACUGGGGGUAAAGGGAGCGUAGACGGCAGCGCAAGUCUGAAGUGAAAUGCCGGGGCUUAACCCCGGAACUGCUUUGGAACUGCGCGGCUGGAGUGCAGGAGGGGCAGGCGGAAUUCCUGGUGUAGCGGUGAAAUGCGUAGAUAUCAGGAGGAACACCGGUGGCGAAGGCGGCCUGCUGGACUGCGACUGACGUUGAGGCCCGAAAGCGUGGGGAGCAAACAGGAUUAGAUACCCUCGUA
RNAcentral lists this ribosomal RNA (446 nucleotides) under uncultured bacterium. RNAcentral's name for it is "partial 16S ribosomal RNA". It matches the Rfam family "Bacterial small subunit ribosomal RNA", at positions 329 to 792 of the family's 1533-position model. The record is from RNAcentral.